This 253-nucleotide ribosomal RNA is filed under the name uncultured bacterium. RNAcentral's name for it is "partial 16S ribosomal RNA". It matches the Rfam family "Bacterial small subunit ribosomal RNA", at positions 524 to 776 of the family's 1533-position model. The record is from RNAcentral.
UACGGAGGGGGCUAGCGUUGUUCGGAAUUACUGGGCGUAAAGCGCGCGUAGGCGGCUUUGUAAGUUAGAGGUGAAAGCCCGGAGCUCAACUCCGGAAUUGCCUUUAAGACUGCAUCGCUAGAAUCAUGGAGAGGUUAGUGGAAUUCCGAGUGUAGAGGUGAAAUUCGUAGAUAUUCGGAAGAACACCAGUGGCGAAGGCGACUAACUGGACAUGUAUUGACGCUGAGGGGCGAAAGCGUGGGGAGCAAACAGG